Triticum dicoccoides is the source of this 4347-nucleotide long non-coding RNA. RefSeq lists it as uncharacterized. The record is from RefSeq and is a predicted model, not a curated record. NCBI's taxonomy places the organism in Eukaryota, Viridiplantae, Streptophyta, Magnoliopsida, Poales, Poaceae. The transcript has 2 exons.
CCCGCACCCUCACACACUCACACGUAGCUCUGGGAUAUUCCCCCUUUUCAUCUCCUUCCAUCCCCUCGCUGCAUAAUUCUUCCAGCCGAGCAUUGCGCUCGGCUCACUGGUGCGGCGACGGGGUGGGCUUGGCUCCCUGUACGCAUCCUCGAUCUCUCAGGCCGGUCAACAGCGACGGAUGGGUAGUAGGGCUCGAUGAGAAGCUGUGCCAUGGAGGAUGUGAGCUUAUUGAUAUUGGCCGUUUCAUUGUCGUCAGCAUCCUUCGAGGAGAUGUGGGCGUGGAUCUUGUCUCCCGCAGCCAGCUUGGAUCCACAUUAGUUGUGAGGAUGCUGGCGGCAUUGUUUUUCAUUGCAUCGUGGCUGUCCCCGAGCUAGGCAGCCGGGCAGGUCGUCUUCAUCCUCGACACUUGCAGACUGAAUUCGGCAACUUAUUCUUCCACCUAAAGGUCCCCCUUCUCCCUUUUCAUGUCUUUCUCCCUUUCUCUACAUGUGUAUGGCUAAACCAAUAUGAUGUGCAUUAAGGUACAGCUUGUUAGUGAAAGAUCUAAAUUAAUUUGUGCCCCCUCCACCUUUUUUGUACUUGGGACUUACAUCGGUAGAGGCCCCUCUGCCCUAGUUCAUAUUCAACAAAUGUAAUAAAUAAUUAGUUUAUUUGUGAUUAGCUAUAGUUUUAAGAUUUCCCAAUGAUAGAAUUAAUUUUAAUAAGUGAUAUGAAAAGAGUUGCUAUUACAUUUUGCAUAUUAACUAUAACAAUCCAUGGAUGCGGUCACUGUUAUAUUGCACAAUGUUCCCUCGCAAAAAAAUUGCACAAUAUGAUAAGCUUGAAAUAUCCGAUAAUACGUAGUGUCGAUAAUUGAUAAUAUUGAGCUAUGUCCAUUGAACAUUGAUGCAUGUUUCGAAUACUUCUGGGAGUAGUAGAUCAUAUCUGUCCCGCCAUAUCAUGUUAUUAGCAUAGAAAAGUCAUUUUUGCUCCAUGUACUUAUGGUUAUAUAAAAAGGCUAGUAGCAUCUAUAAGUGCCUAUUUGGUUCCUGCCUUCAGAAUAUUUCUGUGUAGACUAUGUUCUUGACCACAUCAUCCUCGUUGUCAGUUCAUUUUCUAUAGAAAAGAAAAUAAUAGGUGUGAUAAAGUCAAUAGGGUAUUACUUGUGCGUGUUUUUCCAAAGUAUUCCCUUUCUCUUACAUUUGUCAUGAACUCCUUGAGCUUUAUGUGGAACACUCGGUCAACAAUAUCAAAUCUUACUGAUUCUGCUUGGCCUACUUCCUAUAGCAUAGAUUGAAUCUGUGGCCAAGUUGCAUUGCAUGUGAAUGUCACAAAUAGGUCCGUGUAUCCAAGCCACUGACAUAUUGAUAUAGCAUCAUGGUAGUUUUGUGCUUUGUUUCUUGGGAUAUAUGUGAAGCUGGAUUGCACAUGGCAGUAGUAUUCUCCUUCAUACCUGGUCAACCAUUGUAUUUCUUUUGUGUCUUGCAGGCCAACAUAUAAUUCUGUUCUUAGGUUUCCUUGUUGUCUUUCUAUCUAGUCUAGCUAUUUGUACUGCAAAAUGUAUGCAAGGGCAAUGAACUGCAAUUUAGGCUUUUCACACACCAGCAAAUGUUUCGACAGGUUAGUACAUUGUUGUAUAUGAUUCUCAUAGUAUUCCAACAAUGUUAUAUGCUUUCUCUUCCACUUUGCACCUUCUUUUAAUGUGUAAUGUAUAUUUUCUCUCUACACAUAUUCUCCGUUGGGGAAUAAUAAUUGAUACUGCAUAGGCAUGAAUGUUGAAUGGUUCUCUGAUAUUCUUCGGUCUCAUGUCUUUGUAGUGAAUAAUGUUAUCCUGUCCUUUUCUAUUUUGUGUUGUAUCAUUCACAAUCAAGGCUGAAACUACAGUUGCCGAUGGCAUGUCAUGUCGUAUUAAUCUCACGUUGUGAUAGUCACCUUUCCAAAUUUAUCCCUUGCCAUUCUGAGUGUUUUUGCUAGUCUAUUAUCUCUAUCCAACAUUUUUAAGGCCCCCGACGAAGUGAGGAUCUCUUGACUCCCUUUUGUUUUCUGAUGUUGACGUUUCAAUCCUGAUUUUACCUCAUUUAUAGUGUCAUAUGUGUACAACUGCGUUGUGCGUGGUUCAUCCUUACCUUCAGGUAAUAGAGUACCUAUUCUGUGGUAUUUUUGGCCAUUCAGUACAAAUAUAUAACGUCUGCGGCCAUUGUUUAUUUCUGUGUCUACCUUUCCUCCCAUUGACGUGAAAGCAAACAUGGAGUUGUUCAAACUGAUAUUUUGCAUGUAGUUUUUCCACCACCUUCGGUUGUGUUUCCUUAACAAUUUCGUAAGGUUAGCCGGCGGCUCUCCUAAUGGUGACAAGUCAACCUUGCCCCGUUGGCAGCCUAGCCCGAAAGAUGGUAUGCUUCUCGCUCUACCUGAGAUUGUUUCUUCGUAACAGAGAAUUGCAUCACAUCACUCACACUUGCAGCUUGGGUUUCCGACGUUGCCGAAUUUCCAUAUUCGUCCUCUCUGAUGUCCUGUUCAAGUUUCUGAAUUCAGCAUCAACUUAAAUGUUUGUAAUGUCUGGUUGUUCUUCAUACUAAACAAACAAAUUUCAUUGAACUUACAUCUAUGGAGUUUCUUUCCCUAUCCUUGUUUUUUAUGUUGUACACAUUGUGUUACUUUUAGUCAUGUACGCGUGCAUAAAAGAAAUACCAGGUUCAUGAAUAUCCAAAUUGUAGAUCUUGAUUGAACUUUCUUGUUACUUACCUCUUAGUCGUACUAGCCUGACUUAUUAUUGAAUUAUUUUGUGUCACUGGUUCUGCAUUGCUCUUUCUUUGUAUUUUUUCUUUUCCCAUAUAGUGUUACAUAUCUAGCUAUCUCUGUUAAAUUACCAGUCCUGCAUAAACAUAAAUUCCAUUUAUUAGAAAUGAGACAAUUUUUCUGCGACAUGUGCAAUUUAUUACUUGUAGUAGUUGUCAAAGUCCUUGUUGAAUGCCUGUACAUGAUAUGGUUCCCUGCGGCAAUUCAAAAAUGCUGAUUUUGCCUCUGUCUUUGUUAAGCCAUACUAUAUGGAAAUGUGUUCUCAUGUUUUUUUGACAAAGAAAUAAUUGAUAGUUUUUUUGCAAGAACAAAUGUAACAUGUUUUCUUUACUUUAAUACACCACUUUAAAUUAGCUGUAGAUCAUAUGGAAAUGCAUAGGCCGACGGGCGUGAUAACCAUUUGCAUACGGUAAACUGUGUAUAUUUGUACAUCAAAUAUACUGGGUUAUUCAAUAAACUUUUGUAAGCAUGGAAAGAAUGGAACACAUAGAUAGCACAAUUGAUGUGCAAAGCAGAAGCAAGCUAUAAUACUGUUUUGAAUAUACCUUAUUACAGUCGUGCAUCGUGUAAGAGAAGUUUAGCAGUUGAAUUCAGAACAGUAAGUAAAGAUAGUGGAUGAUAAUACACAUAAGGAAAUACGUUUGUAAAGAUUUUCUUCCCACACGUGGUUCAGAGGUUCUUCUUUUGGCAUAAUUGUGCAGUCUGGCACAUCUCCAUGUAUAAUCCAUUUUUUCUUCUUUUUCUUGUCUUGCAGUUCAUUCUCCUGUCCUAACUUUUCAUUGUUUAUUGACUGGAUUGACAUCAGUAAGAUAUAAUUUGAAAUAUUUCCCUCGUCCAAGCUUAAAUCACAAACCCGCGUGUGCCUACUUGAAUCUCAAAUCCAAGUUUUUUUUUCUUCCUAUGAUGCCACCUAUUGAAGAUCAUGGAUAGUAAUGGAUCAGCCUGUUGUAUUGCAUAUUUGAUUCUUUUAACAAACUUGGAAGAUUUCACACAUUUUUGCUAUGUGGCCCACCUUUUAUUUCCUUUGUUUCUUCUUGCACAAUGGAGAAUGCACAUAUUAUUGAAGAAGAUGAGAUAUUGUAAAAUCAUUCUAGAGUACUGCUCAAGGUUAUGAAGAUUUAUGAUUUUGGUAGUUUUUUCUGCUUACAAAAUUUCGUCUUUCUUGUAGAAGUAAAAGAGAUCAACUUCGAGGACCAGUGGAUUUUAAGUUCCAAUCUUCAUUUGAAAAGACAAAUAUUGUGAGUACCUUUUACCCCCGUGGUGUAGUUAUAUGCAAGUACAUAAAAUCAUAUGUUUAGUGAAGAGUAAGAUUGCAAUUGAGGAUGGCAAGUUCAUGUACAAUGACGACUGAAAAAUCGCAGGGUGAACUUAGGGCCCUAUCUGAACUUAAACACAACUGCCCCUGUUGAUUAAUAUAAGAUGUUUUAUAUGGAAAGUCUAAAAAACAUCUUAAAUUAAUGGACAGAGACAGUAUUUGAUUGUGUUGUCACACCUGAAAUAAGAUGUUUUAUAUGGAAAGUAUGAAAAACAUCUUAAAUUAAUGGACAGAGACAGUAUUUGAUUGUGUUGUCA